Molecule: ribosomal RNA, 254 nt
Filed under: uncultured bacterium
Lineage: Bacteria
Description: partial 16S ribosomal RNA
Rfam family: Bacterial small subunit ribosomal RNA
Source: RNAcentral
GACAGAGGGUGCAAACGUUGUUCGGAAUUACUGGGCGUAAAGCGCGUGUAGGCUGCUUGGAAAGUCGGAUGUGAAAGCCCUGGGCUCAACCUAGGAAGUGCAUUCGAAACUUUCAUGCUGGAGUGCUGGAGAGGAAGGCGGGAAUUCUCGGUGUAGAGGUGAAAUUCGUAGAUAUCGAGAGGAACACCGGUGGCGAAGGCGGCCUUCUGGACAGCAACUGACGCUGAGACGCGAAAGCGUGGGGAGCAAACAGG